This 253-nucleotide ribosomal RNA is filed under the name uncultured bacterium. Its description in RNAcentral is "partial 16S ribosomal RNA". It matches the Rfam family "Bacterial small subunit ribosomal RNA", at positions 524 to 776 of the family's 1533-position model. The record is from RNAcentral.
UACGGGGGGGGCAAGCGUUGUUCGGAAUUACUGGGCGUAAAGGGUGCGUAGGUGGCGAGGUAAGUCGGAUGUGAAAUCUCCAAGCUCAACUUGGAAAUGGCAUUGGAAACUACCUUGCUAGAGGUUUUGAGGGGGGACUGGAAUUCUCGGUGUAGCAGUGAAAUGCGUAGAUAUCGAGAGGAACACCAGUGGCGAAGGCGAGUCCCUGGAAAACACCUGACACUGAGGCACGAAAGCUAGGGGAGCAAACAGG